RNAcentral lists this non-coding RNA (26 nucleotides) under Arabidopsis thaliana (thale cress). The record is from RNAcentral. Lineage: Eukaryota; Viridiplantae; Streptophyta; Magnoliopsida; Brassicales; Brassicaceae.
UCUGGAGAAGCGUCCUCAGCGACGGA